CGAAGAGCACUUUAGUUUGACACCCCGAAACCAAGUGAGCUACUCCAAGACAGCCUCUAAGGGCGCACCCGUCUCUGUGGCAAAAGAGUGGGAAGAUCUUUGAGUAGAGGUGACAGACCUACCGAACUUGGUUAUAGCUGGUUGCCCAGGAAAUGAAUAGGAGUUCAGCCUUUUGCCUUCUUUCCACACAUGCCGGUUACACCGAAAGCAUUUAAGCAGGUCAAAAGAGUUAGUCAAAGGGGGUACAGCCCCUUUGAAAAAGAUACAACUUUACCAGAAGGGUUAAGAUCACAGCACUUAUUAAGGGAACGUGUUCUAGUUGGCCUAAGAGCAGCCACCCAAGCAGAAAGCGUUAAAGCUCAAACACCUCCCCGCCCCUAUUAUCCGGAUCACAUUAAUCUUACCCCCCUAAACAUACUGAGCCUUCCCAUACACCUAUGGGAGAGAUUAUGCUAAUAUGAGUAAUAAGAGAUCCCCGCAUCUCUCCCUGCACAAGUAUAUAUCGGAACGAACUAACACCGACAAUUAACGGCCCCAAGAAAGAGGGAACUGAAAUAUUAUGGCCAGGCCACUAGAAGACCAUCCACCCCCUAACCGUUAACCUUACACCAGAGUGCACUCAAGGAAAGACUAAAAGAAAAAGAAGG
This 647-nucleotide ribosomal RNA is filed under the name Apogon semilineatus (half-lined cardinal). RNAcentral's name for it is "partial 16S rRNA". The stretch from base 1 to 454 matches the Rfam family "Bacterial large subunit ribosomal RNA", at positions 684 to 1298 of the family's 2925-position model. The record is from RNAcentral. Lineage: Eukaryota; Metazoa; Chordata; Actinopteri; Kurtiformes; Apogonidae.